UCACAAAGUGUGAAAAUAUUGCAGCUUGUCGAGGGUCAUGGACUUUGGGAAGUCAUCCAGCUCAAAAAGAACUACUCAACUAUAUACUGGACAUUGAGAGACCAGGAAAUGAACUGAUUGUUCGAACCGCCAACACAGUCUUAACCCGUGCUGACUUUUGGACAUUGGGCUUGAACAGAGACAUGGAGUCCACUGUAAGAUCAUGGCUGUUUUACAUUGCUUUAUAUGUUGGUACAGUGUACAUAUUAUAAAAAAAUUACAAUACUUGAGUAUUUACAGUACAUGUUUUGAAUUCUGCCUUGUAUACACAAUAUCCUGCAGGGCAAGAACAUUUACAUAGUUGACCUUUAUGUUGUACCAACAUGGCUGCCACCAAACAACUGUGAUCCAUUUUUGAGUCUGCCUGAUGAUGCUCACUUAAAAGACACACUUGUGAUUCCAGUUUGGACACCAGGAC
Molecule: long non-coding RNA, 457 nt
Organism: Cyprinus carpio (common carp)
Lineage: Eukaryota; Metazoa; Chordata; Actinopteri; Cypriniformes; Cyprinidae
Exons: 3
Source: RefSeq, a predicted model, not a curated record